This 90-nucleotide small RNA is filed under the name uncultured Romboutsia sp. RNAcentral describes it as "Clostridioides difficile sRNA included into helicase gene". It matches the Rfam family "Clostridioides difficile sRNA included into helicase gene". From Rfam's summary of the family: This element was identified by RNA deep sequencing of Clostridioides difficile 630 where it is located within gene CD0749 (putative DNA helicase, UvrD/REP type) in the same direction as the gene. A strong transcription start site for this RNA was experimentally confirmed, in the 3' region of gene CD0749. The 3' end of the sRNA has not been confirmed and its length was arbitrarily set to 100nt. Lineage: Bacteria; Bacillati; Bacillota; Clostridia; Peptostreptococcales; Peptostreptococcaceae. The record is from RNAcentral.
AUGAAUGAUUCAGAGAUAGAAGAAGAGAGAAGACUUUGUUAUGUUGGUAUAACAAGAGCUAAGGAAAUUUUAUAUCUUACAUUAACUCAA